RNAcentral lists this ribosomal RNA (508 nucleotides) under uncultured Sclerocystis. Its description in RNAcentral is "SSU rRNA". It matches the Rfam family "Eukaryotic small subunit ribosomal RNA", at positions 569 to 1078 of the family's 1831-position model. The record is from RNAcentral. Lineage: Eukaryota; Fungi; Glomeromycota; Glomeromycetes; Glomerales; Glomeraceae.
AGCAGCCGCGGUAAUUCCAGCUCCAAUAGCGUAUAUUAAAGUUGUUGCAGUUAAAAAGCUCGUAGUUGAAUUUCGGGGUUAGUAGGUCGGUCGUGCCACUGGUAUGCACUGGUUCUACUGAUCCCUCCUUCUUGUAGAACCGUAAUGCCAUUAAUUUGGUGUUGCGGGGAAACAGGACUGUUACUUUGAAAAAAUUAGAGUGUUUAAAGCAGGCUAACGCUUGAAUACAUUAGCAUGGAAUAAUGGAAUAGGACGUUUGAUCCUAUUUUGUUGGUUUCUAGGAUUGACGUAAUGAUUAAUAGGGAUAGUUGGGGGCACUAGUAUUCAAUUGUCAGAGGUGAAAUUCUUGGAUUUAUUGAAGACUAACUACUGCGAAAGCAUUUGCCAAGGAUGUUUUCAUUAAUCAAGAACGAAAGUUAGGGGAUCGAAGACGAUCAGAUACCGUCGUAGUCUUAACCAUAAACUAUGCCGACUAGGGAUCGGAUGACGUUAAUUUUUUAAUGACUCA